Long non-coding RNA from Oncorhynchus tshawytscha (Chinook salmon), 773 nucleotides. The record is from Ensembl. Lineage: Eukaryota; Metazoa; Chordata; Actinopteri; Salmoniformes; Salmonidae.
UGUCGGUGGAUUUCCUGACUGAUCUUCCUCCUUCACAGGGUAACACCACGAUCCUGGUUGUUGUGGAUCAUUUUUCUAAGUCCUGUCAUCUCCUCCCGUUGCCCGGUCUCCCUUCGGCCCUACAGACUGCGGAGGCUCUAUUUACACACGUCUUCCGGCACUACGGGGUGCCUGAGGAUAUAGUGUCUGAUCGGGGGCCCCAGUUCACGUCGAGGGUCUGGAAGGUGUUCAUGGAACGUCUGGGGGUCUCGGUCGGCCUUACCUCAGGUUUUCACCCCGAGAGUAACGGGCAGAUGGAGAGAGUUAACCAGGAUGUGGUGUGUACUGGGGUAUCAGCCGGUUCUGGCUCCGUGGCAUCAGAGUCAGACAAGGCUCCUGCGGUGGACGACUGGUUCCGGCGUGUGGAGGAUACAUGUCCACCUUCAGCACGCCAUACUGCGCCAGAAAGUGCACGCAGACCGUCACCGCAGUGAGGAUCGAAACCAGCCCCUCCUCCUGCCCUGCCGGAAGCUGGAUCCGCGUCUGAGGUACGGGAGGUUCUUCCGCCCCCUCUGGACAUCGAGGGUGACCCGGUGUACUUUGUUCGUUCCAUACUGGAUUUGGGACGUCGGGCAAGGGGCCUUCAGUACCUCGUGGACUGGGAGGUGUACGGUCCGGAGGAGAGAUGCUGGGUUCCAGUGGAGGACGUGUUGGAUCCUUCUAUGCUGCGAGAUUUCCACCGUCUCCAUCCGGAUCGCCCUACGCCUCGCCCUCCGGGUCGUCCCCGAGGUCGG